ACUGCCAUAUCAUGUUGAAACACCAGUUCCCAUAUGAUCACUGAAGUUAAGCAAUAGUCAGUAUCGAGAUGGGUGACCGCUUGUGAAUACCAAGUGUUGUAA
Molecule: non-coding RNA, 102 nt
Organism: Acanthosepion pharaonis
Lineage: Eukaryota; Metazoa; Mollusca; Cephalopoda; Sepiida; Sepiidae
Source: the annotation of a GenBank genome assembly